RNAcentral lists this ribosomal RNA (317 nucleotides) under uncultured Acidobacteriota bacterium. Its description in RNAcentral is "bacterial SSU rRNA". It matches the Rfam family "Bacterial small subunit ribosomal RNA", at positions 29 to 351 of the family's 1533-position model. Lineage: Bacteria; Pseudomonadati; Acidobacteriota. The record is from RNAcentral.
AAUGAACGCUGGCGGCGUGCUUUACACAUGCAAGUCGAGCGAGGCGUGUAGCAAUACACAGUCGAGCGGCGAACGGGUGAGUAACGCGUGGAUAACCUGCCCUGAGGUGGGGAAUAACCCGGGGAAACUCGGGCUAAUACCGCAUGAUACCUAGCGGUCAAAGCGGGGUCGCAAGAUCUCGUGCCACAGGAGGGGUCCGCGUUCGAUUAGCUAGUUGGUAGGGUAAUGGCCUACCAAGGCGACGAUCGAUAGCCGGCCUGAGAGGGUGAUCGGCCACACUGGAACUGAGACACGGUCCAGACUCCUACGGGUGGCUG